CACAGUCCACCUGGAAUGAGGACUGUGUCAAAUGCUCCGGCGCCGAAGGAUGUGGCUGCGGCCGAUUAGGUAGACGGUGGGGUAACGGCCCACCGUGCCAAUAAUCGGUACGGGUCAUGAGAGUGAGAACCCGGAGACGGAAUCUGAGACAAGAUUCCGGGCCCUACGGGGCGCAGCAGGCGCGAAACCUUUACACUGCACGACAGUGCGAUAAGGGAAUCCCAAGUGCGUAGGCAUAGAGCCUACGCUUUUGUCCACCGUAGGGAGGUGGACGAAUAAGGGCUGGGCAAGACCGGUGCCAGCCGCCGCGGUAAUACCGGCAGCCCGAGUGAUGGCCGAUUUUAUUGGGCCUAAAGCGUCCGUAGCUGGCCGCACAAGUCCAUCGGAAAAUCACCCGCUCAACGGGUGGGCGUCCGGUGGAAACUGUGUGGCUUGGGACCGGAAGGCGCGACGGGUACGUCCGGGGUAGGAGUGAAAUCCUGUAAUCCUGGACGGACCGCCGAUGGCGAAAGCACGUCGCGAGAACGGAUCCGACAGUGAGGGACGAAAGCUAGGGUCUCGAACCGGAUUAGAUACCCGGGUAGUCCUAGCCGUAAACAAUGCCUGCUAGGUGUGGCUCC
RNAcentral lists this ribosomal RNA (620 nucleotides) under uncultured archaeon. RNAcentral's name for it is "bacterial SSU rRNA". It matches the Rfam family "Archaeal small subunit ribosomal RNA", at positions 156 to 780 of the family's 1478-position model. The record is from RNAcentral.